UUACUUAAAUAGCUUAAUUAGAGCAUAAUAUUGAAGAUAUUAAGGUAAUUUUAAAAUUUUUAAGU
RNAcentral lists this transfer RNA (65 nucleotides) under Limnichidae sp. MJTNT-2012. Its description in RNAcentral is "tRNA-Phe". The record is from RNAcentral. Lineage: Eukaryota; Metazoa; Arthropoda; Insecta; Coleoptera; Limnichidae.